GCCGGGUGCACUGACGCUUGCCUGUAGUCCCAGCUACUCGGGAGGCUGAGGCUGGAGGGUCGCUUGAGUCCAGGAGCUCUGGGCUGUAGUGCCCUAUGCCACUUGGGUGUCUGCACUAGGUUCGGCAUCAGUAUGGUGACCUCCCGGGAACAGGGGACCACCAGGUUAUCUAAGGAGGGGUGAACGGGCCCAGGUUGGAAAUGAGAAGGUCAAAACUACCAUGCUGAUCAGUAAUGGGAUCGUGCCUGUGAAUAGCCACUGCAUUCCAGCCUGGGCAACAUAGCGAGACCCCGUCUCU
Aotus nancymaae (Ma's night monkey) is the source of this 298-nucleotide unclassified non-coding RNA. It matches the Rfam family "Metazoan signal recognition particle RNA". From Rfam's summary of the family: The signal recognition particle (SRP) is a universally conserved ribonucleoprotein. Lineage: Eukaryota; Metazoa; Chordata; Mammalia; Primates; Aotidae. The record is from Ensembl.